GUUUAUGCAAAAAAAAUGGAAAAGAUAACAAAACCAUUUCAGAUUAUAAAAAGUCUCUGGAAUUUAUAAUCAGAGAUUUGAGUUGUGAUUUUGUGAAAGUGGUGGAUACCCAUAAGCCCCAGUACCCACCCUACCCAACCUAUCACCUUACGCCAAACAGUACCCAAUCUAGAACAAGCUCAACAAAAAAAUAAGAAUAUAUAUAUUAUAUACAAAAAAAAACCCAAAGAUCUUUUGUUCUUAUCCUUAUUCACCGCCUCACAUAAAUUUUUCUUCAUAAUUUAAGAAAUCCCAAGUUAUUUAUCAUCGAUUUAUGUUGAAAAGUUCAAAUCUUUAUGUAUUACAAGAUCUGGUUUUGGAUUUAACGAUUAUCGAAGAAGGAUUUGAGAUUUGGUGAAGAAGUUUUUUUUU
This 411-nucleotide unclassified non-coding RNA is filed under the name Hevea brasiliensis (rubber tree). The record is from RNAcentral. Lineage: Eukaryota; Viridiplantae; Streptophyta; Magnoliopsida; Malpighiales; Euphorbiaceae.